Molecule: long non-coding RNA, 5328 nt
Filed under: Mytilus galloprovincialis (Mediterranean mussel)
Lineage: Eukaryota; Metazoa; Mollusca; Bivalvia; Mytilida; Mytilidae
Source: RNAcentral
GUCUCAUAGGCAUAUUCAUCGUCAUAACUGUGAAACGGAAAAGUAACUAGUGUACGUAUAUAACAUGUAAAAGAUAAUAAAAACUUUGAAAAUAGAGGAGAAAAAAACAAUUAUAUCAACAAAAUGAAGUAUUAAACUCUGUAAUCUUUAUUCAACCAAAUAAUGUGUAAACAUUUCUCAUGACUUAUAACAUGUAUAAUGUCUUCAUUUAAAUGAACUACCCUUAAUCCAACUUAGUAUUAUCUUCCCAAUCUUUUUUUGUCAGACUUGAUGUAUUGUGCAGAUUGCGUUAGCAAUUACUCAUAUUUGUUAUGUUACGUGUGUGUGUUUUGAGGUACGCUCAUGUUAAACUGCACAUAACAUGUAACAUCUCACAGCAAGACUGCUUGAAACUAAUCAAGAGCAAGAAAAACAUGUUUCAAAGAGGAUAACAAUUGCUUAUCUCAAGUAUUUUCUACAUGUACAUGUUCACAGUCUUCAUUUAAAGUUUCUGGAUCCAACUGUUAUAUAGUACGUACUUUCAAGUAUAAAUCAAACGGUCCAUCACUUUUUAUUUAAACAAUUGUCCAAUGAUUUGUUUGUAUAUAUAUAAAAAAAACAUUAUAUAUCACAGUAAUGUUUUUCAAAGGAGAACAUCUUUUAACAAUACAGAUGUAUGUUAAAUUUAUACUGACCUAUUGAGGUAUAAAUGGAAAUGGCAUGUCAAGUGAAAGCAAUUUUUGAAUCGGGUUAUUUUUUUGAUUUCGAAUGUCAUUUGGCACCGACCAGUUAUCAAUCCGUUGACAUUCAAAGUUUAAUCUGUUACCAACCAUUUAAUUUUUUUAUCAUGUUAAAAAGCAACAAAAGCACGGUAGCAAUCAAAGUCAAUUAAAAAAAUCAAUAUUGACCAAUCAGGAAAAGACUUAGAAUCGAACACGGUCAAAAACAGUACAUAGAAAACUGAAGAUUAUCAAAUGUGUUGGUUAGUUGUUUCCUAUAGACUACAUUCUAUUUUUAACAUAUAUGAAAUAUUUGUGCACUGAAACAGAUAAAAGAUAAUAAUAUACAUACGAAGACAUUAAAUGGUAUAGGCGAAUAUUUUGCAGCACCAAAUGACUUUCAACAAAACUAGUCCUUCAAUAUGUAAUAAAUCAAUAGAUAUCAAGGUUUUGUGUGCAAAAAGAGCCGAAUUAUACAAUUAAACUUGCGAUCAUUUUAACCUUGAGUUUCAUCGAUCAAACAAACGAAACAUAACUUGUUUUCGUUGUAGUAGACGUGCAUUUGGAUGUAAAAAUCUACAACUAUAAGUAGACCUCAAUGUGAACCUUUUUAACAUCCCUAUUCUGUACUACUUAUACAAACAUAGUCCACAUCGUAACUAUAAUAAAAUUUUCAAAACCAGCAAUCAAUAGUGUUUUUGACAACACAAAUGGUGAUAAAAGGUAAAUGUUAGCAGCUGAAAAAAUAACCAUAGUGACAACAUAUAUGUUUACGCAUAGAUUUAUUGAAAUGGAAUUUUUCUUAAGUGUAGAAUUGUUAUCGAUAUUGAUAUGAAAAGGUUUUAUACAUAAUACACAAAUCACAGACCUUCAAAAGCAGACCUUUUAUCAAAUACUCCCCACGUCUGUGUCUGAGUUUUUACGAUUCUUAAACAUGUUGACAAUACAAACUCUGUUUCAACAUAUCAAAGUAUGUUCCUUAUAUAUGUGACCGAACAAAGAAAAAUGCAAGGUUUCUCAUAUAAUUGAGGCAACCAUUUUAUUUUCAAUCUGAAGGUGUUAAGUAACAGUUGUUUUAGUUUUUAUUACGUUUAAUGUUUACUGAUUUGUAAUAUACCAGAAUGAAAAUUAAAGUAUAAAUGUAACUUUUAUGUAAAUUAACAGUUAGGAAAUGCUUUUAAGAUAAACUUUUCAAAAACGUGUUUAAAAGUUGCAAACACGUCUUUAAAUUCAUAAAGACACACACAGACUUUUAAUAGUUGUAAUUGUUAUCAUUAAGCAGCUGUAAUCGAUUGCAAGUUUUCAAGUAAUCCUUGUAAUUAUUUAUCAGCCAUAUAAUUAUCUGAUUACAUGUCAUUUAAUUUAAUCAAUUACUUUUUAAAAUACCUUGUCAUCCUGAUUACGUUUUGAUUAUAUUCUGACUACAACGAAAACAAAUCUCAAAUUGUGUUUAUUGUCAAUACAUAAUGUAUUAAUGCAUAUUUUUUAAAUUUAUAUUUGAUAAAUAUAUAACUCAGGCAGGAAAACCGAGGUUGUAAAACCUUAGUAUUCAAGUGCUUGGCAAUAUUCCAGGAAAUGGGUAUUACUGGGCAGUAUGAUUUUUUAAAACUCUGUUUUAAGGACAGACUUAUUGUAGUUUCAUAGUAGCAGUAUAGCUAAAUGAAUAAAUUUAAUACAGAUAACCAUUGAGAGUGAGUUUUAGAGGAUUAAAGAUGUAAUGUGUUAAUGUUUUCCAAUUAUUCUGUGAAGUUCUGCACAAUUUAGGAUACUUUGUUCAUUUCCAUACUUUAUUUUCAAUAAUCCAACCUCUGAAAAAAAAUUGUUUGAUCAAAUUGAUAAAAAAACCCACCCUUAUGGGACAUGUCAUGAAAAAUUAUGAAAAUGAAAAUCUUAAUAUUGUCAUCUAAACAAAUCUGUGUUAAAAUUGGAUAACUACUUAUCAAUUAGUGAUGAACAUAUACGUAUGCCGCUUGUUAACCCUGUUUAGUAAUGAACACAAAAUGUUUAAAAGCAAUUGUUCUUACAUAUAACAUUUUUGGUUAACAAUUCUAAAUUAAUAGUUAUAUAUAUGUUUAAUAAACAUCAAAUAAAGUUAUUUGGCUUUAUCAUGUUUAUUUUUGAUCCAUCUAGACCGAAUAUUGAAUUAAUAGAUUUUAACAAUUAUAAUCCAAGUCUCUAAAUAGUUUUUGAUUUGUUUUGUUAUUUGAUUUUGCCAUGUGAUUAUGGACUUUUCGAUUGAAUUUUCCUCUGAGUUCAGUAUUUUGUGAUUUUGCUUUUUAUUAAUUACAACACUAUGUUUGAUUGUUUAUACAUAUCUUUAGUGUAUUGUAUUUGUGAUAUAUAUCUUUUAAUCCUUUUUUUUUUAAAAAUCAGGUCAGUAUUAAAUAUUACUUAGUAUUGCCGACUAUUACCAUCGUUUUCAAGUAUUUCCCACUGGUCUUGGCAAUUGUCAUUGCAAAAUGUAAAACCAUGGUUUUGCCAACCCUGAUAUAUAACUUGUUAAAAGAGUUUUGUUUAACUUCGUCAUGUUAAGUUAUUAUGAAAUACGAGUAUACAUGUAAUUUGAUAAAAACGAUUGUUAUUAAACCUUUAUUCAUUAACAUCAUUUAAAUUGGUUAUUUAGAUUGUUAUUAAACCUUUAUUCAUUAACAUUUGGUUAUUUCAAAAUUUAUUGUAAGCAGAUGUAAUCAUUAUUACUUGCCAUUGCAAUCAUGAUUACUUACCAAUGUAAUCAUCAGUUUAUUUAGCUAAUUUGAGAAAUGGGGAUAAUCAUUAAUUUAAUUUUAUCGUACAAGUGAAAAUGUAAUUGUCAUUCAAUUGAUUACAUUGAAAGUAAUUGGACCCAUCUCUGGAUACUAAACGUUUGUUUGUAAUUUGUUAGCCCGUUACAUUUUAAAGUUCAUUUUCAACAAUAUUACUUUUUACUUUUCUUGUUUUUCUUGAUUAAUAAUAAAAAUACUGUAUAAAUGUAUUCCAUAUGUGUUUUCAUGACAACCUCUGUUUUCACUCCCUAUUGUAUUUUUAUUGAUAUUGCAUUUUCCUUGUAAACAUGUAUGGGGUUUAUUAUAGAAAAAGAGUAUCCAUCUUUCUAUCUAAGGAUUAACUUAAAUUAAGACGUAAAUUGCUGCAAACACAAUGGAUAUUUGUUGUGGUCAUUUUUUCAUAUUAGUCUGAGUUUAUUUGAUGAAUUAACUGAAAUAUCAAUGAAUUUUGUUACAAAUAAGUAUACAUUUAUAACUGGCCAUUUGUGUCUUUAUUUUCAACUUUAAAUUUUUUUUCUUUUUGCAUUUAUAACAUUGCAGCAUUAUUCACUUUUUUCAUUUAACGCCUCAAACUCAUGGUGUCAUGCAUAUGCGUAUAGGUGAAGGUAGACUUUUAUUUUCGUAAUUUAUUUAGGACAGUGCCCUGUGCUCCAAUAUUAAAAUCAUACAAAACACAUUAUUAGCUUAUUCAUAAUUCGCCAAAUACAAAUUAGAUCCGUGCACCAAAAGAAAUUUUCAACAUCUUUUGACAGAGCGAUUUCAUUGUUCGAAAAUGCUUAAUACGUGUUGACAACUGUUUGCAUAUUAUGUCACUUUCAUUUAUGUGGCUGAUUGUAAUUUGUAAAUUCGCAUGGCGGGUGACGCAGAAGACGCUUACUCGUCAUCCCAUCGGUUUUCGCACCUUUGCAAUUCGUGCAAUUCGUGCAAUUCGUUUAUAUUUGUUUGUUACUUUGAUUUGUUUCUUGCAGUUGAAAGACGUCAAUUGAACAUCGGUAAACUAUCAUCAUGAUCAUCGCCUCAGUAUGAUAAAAAUCAAUGAAAGAAUUGAAACACAUGGUGAAGUUUAAGUCAUCCCUUCGUAAAUUUUACGGACGCCAUCAUGAAUUGGUUGUCGUUAUGGAAUAACCGUUUAACAGAUGAUAUCAGAAAUGCUUCUCAUGUAGAAACUAUAGUACCCUCCCCUUUUCUCGAAAGUGACCUACCGAAUUCGAUUGAUUACUGGAUUUGUAAUAACUCAAGCAACACGACGGUUGCCCCAUGUCACAUGUGGAGCAGGAACUGCUUAUCCUUCCGGAUAAACUGAGAUUAUCCCAGUAAGCUGUCCCUCUGGUAUAUUUCGCCCCUCUUUUGUUUUUACCGAUUUUGAUUUGUUCUAAUGCUUGGUCAAUGUUUUGGUCAUGUUUGUUAAUCACUCUGUACGUAAAAGAACCUUUGUAAUUACUCGCUGAUCUUUUCAGACUACUUAUUGAAAAAUGUUUCCUUUCACAUGUACAACAAUCAUUCGUUGUUAAGGGAAGCUAAGAUAUUUAUUUCGAUCAACCAAUCAUACCCGAGAUCUUGUUAUUUUGUUCUGAUGAAGAAUUGCAUGCAUUAUUUAGGCUUCCCAAAAUAAUGUCUUUAUUUGUUCUACUUUCAGGUGUUCAUUUAUGCGACAACACAAAGUAAAACAAGUUUGUCGAAACAUUGAUUAACAUGUUUUACAUGUCUACUGUACAAAGCAACUGUUACAAACAGUAUUGAUUUUCUUGUGUUCUUUAUUUACAUAUUAUUGUAUAGCAAUAUAAUAUUUCCCACCGAAAGUAACCAAAAGUUAGCGUGCAAUAUAAUAUAAUAUUGCACUAGUGCAAUAAUCUUCAAAAUUCAUGACG